UAAUGAGAGUUUGAUCCUGGCUCAGGACGAACGCUGGCGGCGUGCUUAACACAUGCAAGUCGAACGGUAACAGGAAUUAGCUUGCUAAUUUGCUGACGAGUGGCGGACGGGUGAGUAAUGCUUGGGAAUCUGGCUUAUGGAGGGGGAUAACUACGGGAAACUGUAGCUAAUACCGCGUAAAAUCUUCGGAUUAAAGGGUGGGACUUUCGAGCCACCUGCCAUAAGAUGAGCCCAAGUGGGAUUAGGUAGUUGGUUAGGUAAAGGCUGACCAAGCCGACGAUCUCUAGCUGGUCUGAGAGGAUGACCAGCCACACUGGAACUGAGACACGGUCCAGACUCCUACGGGAGGCAGCAGUGGGGAAUAUUGCGCAAUGGGGGCAACCCUGACGCAGCCAUGCCGCGUGAAUGAAGAAGGCCUUCGGGU
Molecule: ribosomal RNA, 424 nt
Filed under: uncultured Symbiodinium
Lineage: Eukaryota; Dinophyceae; Suessiales; Symbiodiniaceae
Description: partial Bacterial small subunit ribosomal RNA
Rfam family: Bacterial small subunit ribosomal RNA
Source: RNAcentral